This 350-nucleotide ribosomal RNA is filed under the name uncultured bacterium. Its description in RNAcentral is "bacterial SSU rRNA". It matches the Rfam family "Bacterial small subunit ribosomal RNA", at positions 313 to 650 of the family's 1533-position model. The record is from RNAcentral.
CUGGAACUGAAACACGGUCCAGACUCCUACGGGAGGCAGCAGUGGGGAAUCUUGCGCAAUGGACGAAAGUCUGACGCAGCCACGCCGCGUGAGUGAAGAAGGCCUUCGGGUCGUAAAGCUCUGUCGAACGGGACGAAAAGCAUAACAGUUAAGAGCUGGUAUGCCUGACGGUACCGUUAAAGGAAGCACCGGCUAACUUCCUGCCAGCAGCCCGCGGUAAUACGAGGGGUGCAAGCGUUGCUCGGAAUUAUUGGGCGUAAAGGGUAGGUAGGUGGUCUCAUUUGUCUGGGGUGAAAGCCUUUGAACUUAACUUCAAGAAGUGCCCCCAGAAACGGUGAGACUAKAGCUUU